UACGUAGGGGGCAAGCGUUGUCCGGAUUUAUUGGGCGUAAAGAGCGUGUAGGCGGCCGCACAGGUCCGUUGUGAAAACUGGAGGCUUAACCUUCAGACGUCGAUGGAAACCGUGCGGCUAGAGUCCGGAAGAGGAGAAUGGAAUUCCUGGUGUAGCGGUGAAAUGCGCAGAUAUCAGGAAGAACACCCGUGGCUAAGGCGGUUCUCUAGUACGGUACUGACGCUGAGACGCGAAAGCUAGGGGAGCAAACGGG
Molecule: ribosomal RNA, 253 nt
Filed under: uncultured bacterium
Lineage: Bacteria
Description: partial 16S ribosomal RNA
Rfam family: Bacterial small subunit ribosomal RNA
Source: RNAcentral